GGCUUAACACAUGCAAGUCGAGGGGCAGCAUGGUCUUAGCUUGCUAAGGCUGAUGGCGACCGGCGCACGGGUGAGUAACACGUAUCCAACCUGCCGUCUACUCUUGGCCAGCCUUCUGAAAGGAAGAUUAAUCCAGGAUGGCAUCAUGAGUUCACAUGUCCGCAUGAUUAAAGGUAUUUUCCGGUAGACGAUGGGGAUGCGUUCCAUUAGAUAGUAGGCGGGGUAACGGCCCACCUAGUCAACGAUGGAUAGGGGUUCUGAGAGGAAGGUCCCCCACAUUGGAACUGAGACACGGUCCAAACUCCUACGGGAGGCAGCAGUGAGGAAUAUUGGUCAAUGGGCGAUGGCCUGAACCAGCCAAGUAGCGUGAAGGAUGACUGCCCUAUGGGUUGUAAACUUCUUUUAUAAAGGAAUAAAGUCGGGUAUGCAUACCCGUUUGCAUGUACUUUAUGAAUAAGGAUCGGCUAACUCCGUGCCAGCAGCCGCGGUAAUACGGAGGAUCCGAGCGUUAUCCGGAUUUAUUGGGUUUAAAGGGAGCGUAGAUGGAUGUUUAAGUCAGUUGUGAAAGUUUGCGGCUCAACCGUAAAAUUGCAGUUGAUACUGGAUGUCUUGAGUGCAGUUGAGGCAGGCGGAAUUCGUGGUGUAGCGGUGAAAUGCUUAGAUAUCACGAAGAACUCCGAUUGCGAAGGCAGCCUGCUAAGCUGCAACUGACAU
Molecule: ribosomal RNA, 714 nt
Filed under: uncultured Bacteroidales bacterium
Lineage: Bacteria; Pseudomonadati; Bacteroidota; Bacteroidia; Bacteroidales
Description: bacterial SSU rRNA
Rfam family: Bacterial small subunit ribosomal RNA
Source: RNAcentral